GUGGGGUAAUACUAUGAGGUGUUGGGUCCUGUGGGGUAAUACUAUGAGGUGGGGUAAUACUAUGAGGUGUUGGGUCGUGUGGGGUAAUACUAUGAGGUGUUGGGUCCUGUGGGGUAAUACUAUGAGGUGUUGGGUCCUGUGAGGUAAUACUAUGAGGUGUUGGGUCCUGUGGGGUAAUACUAUGAGGUGGGGUAAUAUUAUGAGGUGUUGGGUCCUGUGGGGUAAUACUAUGAGGUGUUGGGUCCUGUGAGGGUAAUACUAUGAGGUGUUGGUCCUGUGGGGUAAUACUAUGAGGUGUUGGUCCUGUGGGGUAAUACUAUGAGGUGUUGGGUCCUGUGGGGUAAUACUAUGAGGUGUUGGGUCCUGUGAGGUAAUACUAUGAGGUGGGGUAAUACUAUGAGGUGUUGGGUCCUGUGGGGUAAUACUAUGAGGUGUUGGUCCUGUGGGGUAAUACUAUGAGGUGUUGGUCCUGUGGGGUAAUACUAUGAGGUGUUGGUCCUGUGGGGUAAUACUAUGAGGUGUUGGGUCCUGUGGGGUAAUACUAUGAGGUGUUGGGUCCUGUGGGGUAAUACUAUGAGGUGUUGGGUCCUGUGGGGUAAUACUAUGAGGUGUUGGUCCUGUGGGGUAAUACUAUGAGGUGUUGGGUCCUGUGAGGUAAUACUAUGAGGUGUUGGGUCCUGUGGGGUAAUACUAUGAGGUGGGGUAAUACUAUG
Long non-coding RNA from Oncorhynchus tshawytscha (Chinook salmon), 713 nucleotides. The record is from Ensembl. NCBI's taxonomy places the organism in Eukaryota, Metazoa, Chordata, Actinopteri, Salmoniformes, Salmonidae.